CUAAACUGCAAGCUUCACUGCUCAUGCCCUGCUGGGGCUUUAGGUAUGCUGAAUGUAUAUGAGAGAAUUUAAGGAACGUCCUUGCCGACCAUAAGGAAAAAGGAAGUGUUCGGAAAUAAAGAAGUUAGCAGGAAGUAUGAAAUGUCAAGAGGAUGUUGAGAAAGAAGCACUCCAACGAAUCAGAGCCAGCAGAAAGGCGCGUGGACAAGGCAUGAAGUUUGCUAUCGGCCAAUGAAGAACACUGCUUUUGCGCAUGCAGCAUGACUAAGGAAAAAAUGUAUGCAUAAAGCUUAGCCGGAAAAUUGAAUAAACGGAGUUUGAUUCCACAUCAUAUUGGUGUGAUGUUUCUCUCCCUUCACUCUUCGGGCCGCAGCAUCUGGUGACCCCGACGUGAUACCGCCUCUGUGAGGACGAAAAGCGGACGAGAGACGAAGAGUGGAUGAUCCCGGCCGUCCGAGAGAGACGGGCAGCGCACGGCGCUGGGAGGCCUCAGCUGACCGAUGCAGAGCCACGGUGGGUUCCAGCCAAGUGGGUGAAGCCGAAACUGCAGAAAACCAAAGAACGGACGGAGGAAGGGGAGGCAGAACAUCAAGCAACGGAAAAUAACCAAGACUAAGCAGAAUGAACUUUGUAUUAUUAAUCAGCACUUUUAUCCUAGGGGUCCAGGGGAACCCAACACUUUUGCCAAAGCUCAGUAAUGAUCCUGGUAAUAUUUGGGUAACCAUCGCAAAUGUAACCAAACAACCAGCCUUUUGCCUAAGCUUAAGUAGUGUAAGAAGCCCCUUUCGCACCUGUUUGAUCGGAGUGCCGGUAUGGAAUAUAAACGAAUUUAAAGGAUACCUGAAAAUAGUAUAUGACAAUUAUACCCACGUCAAUCAGACAUGUGGGCAACAGGGUACUGGAGUAAAUACAAACCAAAAACUGUCUGAUGGCAGUGUACAAUGUUGCCUUAUAUCAGCCUUAAACGAAAGUUUAACAUCUCCCCCAGAAGAGCUAGACCUGUUUGGAAGUGUGAACGCUAGUAAUGCUACUAUUGGCGGUGGCUGGUUGUCCUUCCUCCCGGGCAACAGCAGUUUAAUAAAUACACCUAGUAGUAAGUGGGCCAAUUUGAAUUCAGUUUUAAACCCCUCAGAAAUAUUUGAAGAUUUAUAUAGUAGCUGUGAUGGGAGCAAUAUAACGACGCCUAAAGCCCUCCCACCAGGAAUCUUUCUGAUUUGUGGGGAUCGUGCCUGGAAUGGCAUUCCAGCUUCUCCUCAAGGUGGACCUUGUUAUUUAGGUAAAUUGUCACUUUUUCAUCCUAAUAUUUCCCUCCUCAUGCGUUGGGCAAAUAAAAUCGAGAAGACUAGACAAGAAAGAUCUGUGCAUGAGUUAAAGUGUGAAGAAGUUGGUGACCCUCAAUUUUGGUCUAAAACUAAAAAUUUUUUGUCAUCCCUUUUUAUCCCCGGGCUGGCAGCAGCGAAGUCACUAGCGCUUGCCAAACAAAUAGCAUGCUGGACGAGAAAUGAAUUAAAUAUAACUUCAGCUAUUCUGGAUAUGUUAUCGCAGGAUGUACAGAGUGUGAAUCACGCGGUACUACAGAAUCGAGCAGCUAUAGACUUCCUGUUAUUAGCCCAGGGACAUGGGUGUGAUGAGUUUGAAGGUAUGUGUUGUAUGAAUCUUUCUGAUCAUUCUGAAUCGAUUCACUCAAGAAUUGAACAGAUGCGAAAGGGUUUGCACGCAUUAACAGAAGACACAGGAAUAAAGGGGUGGCUGAGGGGCCUGGGAAUCGGAGGAUAGCUUCGCAGUCUGGUGAUGAUGUUUAUGGGACCCUGUGUUCUGAUCUUGAUUACUUUAUUGAUAGGACCUUGUAUCUUGCGCUGUAUUGUUAGCCGCUUGCAAGCCAUGAGCCAUGCUGUUUUUGAAAAAAGAGGGGGAGAUGCUGGGGCUUUAGGUAUGCUGAAUGUAUAUGAGAGAAUUUAAGGAUUGCUAACAAGGACGAAACGUCCUUGCCGACCAUAAGGAAAGAGGAAGUGUUCGGAAAUAAAGAAGUUAGCAGGAAGUAUGAAAUGUCAAGAGGAUGUUGAGAAAGAAGCACUCCAACGAAUCAGAGCCAGCAGAAAGGCGAGUGGACAAGGCAUGAAGUUUGCUAUCGGCCAAUGAAGAACACUGCUUUUGCGCAUGCAGCAUGACUAAGGAAAAAAUGUAUGCAUAAAGCUUAGCCGGAAAAUUGAAUAAACGGAGCUUGAUUCCACAUCA
Dromaius novaehollandiae (emu) is the source of this 2235-nucleotide long non-coding RNA. RefSeq lists it as uncharacterized. Lineage: Eukaryota; Metazoa; Chordata; Aves; Casuariiformes; Dromaiidae. The transcript has 2 exons. The record is from RefSeq and is a predicted model, not a curated record.